UCGAGGGUGCGAGCGUUGUCCGGAAUUAUUGGGCGUAAAGAGCUUGUAGGCGGUUUGUCGCGUCUGCUGUGAAAAUCCGGGGCUCAACCCCGGACUUGCAGUGGGUACGGGCAGACUGGAGUGUGGUAGGGGAGACUGGAAUUCCUGGUGUAGCGGUGGAAUGCGCAGAUAUCAGGAGGAACACCGAUGGCGAAGGCAGGUCUCUGGGCCACUACUGACGCUGAGAAGCGAAAGCGUGGGGAGCAAACAGG
RNAcentral lists this ribosomal RNA (251 nucleotides) under uncultured bacterium. RNAcentral describes it as "partial 16S ribosomal RNA". It matches the Rfam family "Bacterial small subunit ribosomal RNA", at positions 526 to 776 of the family's 1533-position model. The record is from RNAcentral.